RNAcentral lists this ribosomal RNA (1567 nucleotides) under Lactiplantibacillus plantarum. RNAcentral's name for it is "16S ribosomal RNA". It matches the Rfam family "Bacterial small subunit ribosomal RNA". Lineage: Bacteria; Bacillati; Bacillota; Bacilli; Lactobacillales; Lactobacillaceae. The record is from RNAcentral.
UAAUUUGAGAGUUUGAUCCUGGCUCAGGACGAACGCUGGCGGCGUGCCUAAUACAUGCAAGUCGAACGAACUCUGGUAUUGAUUGGUGCUUGCAUCAUGAUUUACGUUUGAGUGAGUGGCGAACUGGUGAGUAACACGUGGGAAACCUGCCCAGAAGCGGGGGAUAACACCUGGAAACAGAUGCUAAUACCGCAUAACAACUUGGACCGCAUGGUCCGAGCUUGAAAGAUGGCUUCGGCUAUCACUUUUGGAUGGUCCCGCGGCGUAUUAGCUAGAUGGUGGGGUAACGGCUCACCAUGGCAAUGAUACGUAGCCGACCUGAGAGGGUAAUCGGCCACAUUGGGACUGAGACACGGCCCAAACUCCUACGGGAGGCAGCAGUAGGGAAUCUUCCACAAUGGACGAAAGUCUGAUGGAGCAACGCCGCGUGAGUGAAGAAGGGUUUCGGCUCGUAAAACUCUGUUGUUAAAGAAGAACAUAUCUGAGAGUAACUGUUCAGGUAUUGACGGUAUUUAACCAGAAAGCCACGGCUAACUACGUGCCAGCAGCCGCGGUAAUACGUAGGUGGCAAGCGUUGUCCGGAUUUAUUGGGCGUAAAGCGAGCGCAGGCGGUUUUUUAAGUCUGAUGUGAAAGCCUUCGGCUCAACCGAAGAAGUGCAUCGGAAACUGGGAAACUUGAGUGCAGAAGAGGACAGUGGAACUCCAUGUGUAGCGGUGAAAUGCGUAGAUAUAUGGAAGAACACCAGUGGCGAAGGCGGCUGUCUGGUCUGUAACUGACGCUGAGGCUCGAAAGUAUGGGUAGCAAACAGGAUUAGAUACCCUGGUAGUCCAUACCGUAAACGAUGAAUGCUAAGUGUUGGAGGGUUUCCGCCCUUCAGUGCUGCAGCUAACGCAUUAAGCAUUCCGCCUGGGGAGUACGGCCGCAAGGCUGAAACUCAAAGGAAUUGACGGGGGCCCGCACAAGCGGUGGAGCAUGUGGUUUAAUUCGAAGCUACGCGAAGAACCUUACCAGGUCUUGACAUACUAUGCAAAUCUAAGAGAUUAGACGUUCCCUUCGGGGACAUGGAUACAGGUGGUGCAUGGUUGUCGUCAGCUCGUGUCGUGAGAUGUUGGGUUAAGUCCCGCAACGAGCGCAACCCUUAUUAUCAGUUGCCAGCAUUAAGUUGGGCACUCUGGUGAGACUGCCGGUGACAAACCGGAGGAAGGUGGGGAUGACGUCAAAUCAUCAUGCCCCUCAUGACCUGGGCUACACACGUGCUACAAUGGAUGGUACAACGAGUUGCGAACUCGCGAGAGUAAGCUAAUCUCUUAAAGCCAUUCUCAGUUCGGAUUGUAGGCUGCAACUCGCCUACAUGAAGUCGGAAUCGCUAGUAAUCGCGGAUCAGCAUGCCGCGGUGAAUACGUUCCCGGGCCUUGUACACACCGCCCGUCACACCAUGAGAGUUUGUAACACCCAAAGUCGGUGGGGUAACCUUUUAGGAACCAGCCGCCUAAGGUGGGACAGAUGAUUAGGGUGAAGUCGUAACAAGGUAGCCGUAGGAGAACCUGCGGCUGGAUCACCUCCUUU